AACGAACGCUGGCGGCAUGCCUAACACAUGCAAGUCGAACGAGACCUUCGGGUCUAGUGGCGCACUGGUGCGUAACGCGUGGGAACCUGCCCUUAGGUUCGGAAUAACUCCCCGAAAGGGGUGCUAAUACCGGAUAAUGUCUUCGGACCAAAGAUUUAUCGCCUUUGGAUGGUCCCGCGUUGGAUUAGCUAGUUGGUAGGGUAAAAGCCUACCAAGGCGACGAUCCAUAGCUGGUCUGAGAGGAUGAUCAGCCACACUGGGACUGAGACACGGCCCAGACUCAUACGGGAGGCAGCAGUGGGGAAUAUUGGACAAUGGGCGAAAGACUGAUCAAGCAAUGACGCGUGAGUGAUGAAGGCCUUAGGGUUGUAAAGCUCUUUUACCCGGGAUGAUAAUGACAGUACCGGGAGAAUAAGCUCCGGCUAACUCCGUG
This 433-nucleotide ribosomal RNA is filed under the name uncultured bacterium. RNAcentral describes it as "partial 16S ribosomal RNA". It matches the Rfam family "Bacterial small subunit ribosomal RNA", at positions 29 to 507 of the family's 1533-position model. The record is from RNAcentral.